RNAcentral lists this ribosomal RNA (506 nucleotides) under uncultured bacterium. RNAcentral describes it as "partial 16S ribosomal RNA". It matches the Rfam family "Bacterial small subunit ribosomal RNA", at positions 30 to 523 of the family's 1533-position model. The record is from RNAcentral.
AUUGAACGCUGGCGGCAGGCCUAACACAUGCAAGUCGAACGGCAGCGGGGGAUAGCUUGCUAUCCUGCCGGCGAGUGGCGGACGGGUGAGUAAUGCAUGGGGAGCUGCCCAGUCGAGGGGGAUAACAACUGGAAACGGUUGCUAAUACCGCAUACGCCCUAAGGGGGAAAGGUGGGGAACUUCGGUCCUACCGCGAUUGGAUGCGCCCAUGUGGGAUUAGCUAGUUGGUGAGGUAACGGCUCACCAAGGCGACGAUCUCUAGCUGGUCUGAGAGGAUGACCAGCCACACUGGAACUGAGACACGGUCCAGACUCCUACGGGAGGCAGCAGUGGGGAAUAUUGGACAAUGGGCGCAAGCCUGAUCCAGCCAUGCCGCGUGUGUGAAGAAGGCCUUCGGGUUGUAAAGCACUUUAAGUGGGGAGGAAGGUCAGUAAGUUAAUACCUUGCUGAAUUGACGCUACCCACAGAAUAAGCACCGGCUAACUCUGUGCCAGCAGCCGCGGUAA